Molecule: long non-coding RNA, 5022 nt
Organism: Caretta caretta (loggerhead turtle)
Lineage: Eukaryota; Metazoa; Chordata; Testudines; Cheloniidae
Source: RefSeq, a predicted model, not a curated record
AUAAAUACCUGGCGGGUACCUAAGGACAGUGAAGUCAGACAAGGCUGAGUUACAAGAAGUGAAACCCAAGGAGAGGAGCUGUUUAGGGUUUGGAAACUGCAGCUUAUUUUGCCUUUUUUGUUUUUUGUUCCAGCGCAAUGAAACAAGCCUUGUGGUUAGCGCUCCUUUAGCCCAGACACAACAUCAGAGCGCCCCCUGCUGGCCAACUGAACAGAGCGCCUCCGGUCCGCAGCACAGACUUCUCAAGCAAAGCUUGCCAGUACCAGGGAGAUUUCCUGUCAGGGCUCAAUGUUUAAAUAUAUAUGUGUGUGUAUAUAUAUAUAAGAAAGGACACUCUCUGUUUCCCCCCACGCCUUCCUCUUGGCCUCAAGGGAUUAUAAUAUAAACUGUUUAGGAAACUGCUAUUUAAAAAAAAAAACUACAAAAACUGCAGAUCUAAAAAGGGGGAAACGUUGAUAACAAGGAUAAAUAUACCGGUGUAGCUGCUGCGAUUUAGUUUGUGUCGAUUUUCCUGCACUCGCGGAGAAAUGCAAACAUCAAAAAAUUGAUCUUGUCGUCCUGGGUUAACGAUGGCGCAGAGAGAAGAAGGGCAGGGGCCGUAAUGAUCACCUUGAACUAAUAUCUAAAUUAUUAGCACCAUCUUCUUCUGGGAGAAAACGACCUGGGAAUUCAGCGGUAAAGGGGGAUCCUCAGCAAAUGUAUCUGGGAAAUGCAGAAGAGGGAAGAAAGGAAAACACAAGAAAGGCAGAACAAUUGAGGCGAAUCCUGUUGCAACCCCGAUGAUAAACACAUGGAAAAGGCUGUUACUGCUCUUUGGAUUGCUGGAAUUUGGGCAGACGUUAGAAAAAUAAACAAAGCGAUGGCUCCACAUCAGCUCUGUAAAUGCAAUGAUACAGUCAAUGGAAGGAUUUGGCAUAAACGGGGCAAUCUGCUGUGUUCCAGUCAUUCAACCUGAAAUGUUAUCCGCGUACCUUUGCACCUUAAGUGAAUGCACGGUUCGAGGCGAACGGUGCACGUAGCUGAAUACAACCAAAAUGCAGAUUGUAAAGUCCUUCUUUAAAAUGCAACCGUUCACAGGAACGUUUAACAAUACGAUGUGAAACAAUCGACUCCCCUCCCCAAAGACAGACAGAGAGAGAGAGAGAGAGAGAGAGAAAACACUAAAACCUGAGGAUGCAAAUUAAACUAAACUAAACUCAUCUCCAUGCUUUGGCGAGUUGAAUUUUCCUGUUGUUCCUACGAGGACUCCAUUUCGAUAUCAGUGUAAUAAAGAGAGAGGGAGUAAAACGUUCAUUUUACACAGUAGUAAGCGGCUUCUUGAUCAGUGCUGGAAUGAAUUUCGGGAGUGGCGCGAAUACAGCUCUGCGCGAGGAAGAAAUGGCUUGCGCGUUGUCGCAGCGAUAUUUUCCGGAGCAAUCAAACAGACCCGCAGCUCAGAUUUCCCUUCAUUCUAUUUAAGAGAAGCUCAGUGCUGCUUAUUGUGGAAGAAUCUACUAUUCCAUCCAUCAGGUCGCAUUUUGCCUCUUAUAUCGAGGGCCUGCCGGUAUGGUGUGAGAGACCACACACGCAGGGCCGGCGGGCAACAGAAUUUGGCUUGCAGGCAGCCAUGCAAACCUUCAAGAUACACACGGUAUAAGGAACGGCAAAAACGUAACAUUCACUUUGCAUUAAUGUAUCUGAAGCAACAGAAGUUGGAGCCCGGAAGAAGUCUAUAUUUUCAGGAUGGCUGCUCUGGCACCCAAGAAUCUCCCCAGUGUAUUUUUGUAUACUUUCAUAAUCCCCUGUCCUGACUUGAUUGUCUAAAGUGCUACAAUUCCUUUCUCAUAGACAUUUCAUAUCACAUUUCCAGAAGUAAGUAGGGACUGGUGAAUCUUGAUUCAGCUUAGUAGCAAGAAUCUUUAUAGUGACUCUUCUAUUCUGCCGUAGUUUUUUUUCCUCCAGAUGUUCAACUGCCUUUGAGAGUACUCAAGGAAACACAGGAACGCUGUGUUCCAACACUUUAUCAGUUUAAUUGAAAAAAAAAAUAACAUGCAAUGUACAGUCAGGGGCUCUUUAAAGAACUCCCUAGCAACUUCAUGGAUAAAUACUCUGCUCUUGCUCACUAAAUGAUAUAAAAUCACGUUGCUAAGUGAGUUUUCUUUUUAAAAACUUGUACAUGAACUUAAUGCUCUUGAGAAUGAGGAUGUUGGAGCAUUGCUCUGAGGCAGGCAUAAAAUAUGUGUAACAGACACCCUAGAGAACAGAACGUGGUACCUUCAGCAGCACAAGCCCUGGCUCUGAAUACUUGAGCUAAAGGUCCUUGUGCUGAUUGGAAUUAGUCACUAGCAGGAACAUAAUUAUCUUAUGGUAUAACUGUUCAUGUUAUUGAGCUAUUCCUAAGCAUCUGAGGUCCAUGGCAAUAUAAGUCCCAUCUAAUGUGUCCUUUUGUGCUGUUACUUGACAUGUACAUGUAUGUAGGCACAGACUUGUUAUACAGUCAUUGUGGAAAUUUACCUACAUUUUUAUACCAGUGCUUCCCGUGCUGCUGCCAUUGUCAUUUCAUCCUUGCUUGAGUAGUGCAGAACUGUGCUGGUAAAUAUCAUCCAGCAAGGAGAGAAGUAAAUUUGAUGGAUGUAGUACUCUUUUCUUUAGUGAGCUAGGCUGAAAAGUUAAACAUUCCUUCUCAUUUAUCACACAGUCUGCUGGUGCUUAUUGGCAAUAGGCUCACUCAUCCUUUUAAAUAGCUUUCUUUUUCUGUGGGGAGCAAUCUCUGUGUGAGUCCAGCAGAAUUCUUGAAACCAGGUUCCCAUCUGCUGUUUUUGAACCUUGAAGUUUCACCAGGUAUUAAGUUGGUUCAGCAGUCUUUGAACUUGAUCCUUCAAAGUACAACCCUAAUGCUAGGGCUGGGUCUUGAUACAAGGGACUAAGAUGGAGUCAGGCCAAUGGGAGGUAGGGUGCAUACAACUCUGCACCUUGCAGGACAGCUUUUCCCAUGAGGAGCAGCCUCCCUCCAAGCUCUUUCUCUUGGAAGUUGGAAUACUGAGUGAUGAAGGAGUUGACAGAAAGGGGCACUGAACCUGGAGGCGGGAGGAAAUAUUCCAUUCCCACUUCCUGCUACCAGCCAGCCUCCACAUGGUAGGGCAGAAUGUCACUCUAGAACAAGGCAGGGAAUUGGAAGAAGGGCAUCUGAUUGGCUCUGGGCCAGUCAGCUGGUACAGGGGCAGGGCUAAAGAGAACACAUGCUGAGAAGCCUAUGGCUGUUUGUUACUGCUGUUGCAGUAGAGAAUGGGCUCAGACACAGCCUGGAUUUAGGGUAGAAGCUGGAGGAUUGGCCUGGGGAGCAAGCUGGGGCAUGACCUAGAUCCAGGGUAAGAAUCCUGAGCAGCAUAGUAACCCUACGGGUCAGUGCUGCAGAGCCCAGGACACAGAACUCAGAGCUUGUCACGUGCCCACACAUGAGUGACCAGCAUGAGGGUUGGAAGGUACCCUGAUUGGGACUGAGAAACUGGGCUUGUGGGCUGUUUGGACUCUUAUUUGGUUUAGAGAGCAGUUAGGCAUUGGGGACUGGGUAAUUUGUACUAUUGUGGUGUGUGUUUGUGUACAUGUGACCACAUAUGCAUCCCGCCACCCCAUGAAUUGUCUCUGAUACUACCUGAUGGUUUGUUUCUGCUCAGAAAAAUAGUGUUUGAUUGUUGAGUGCAGUAUUUCUUCCUCAAGUGCUUGGGAAAGAAACAAGUGGUGUUUUCUCAGGCAUGUAGCUUGGGAUUUGGGAACCCCUUAACUAACCCCAGAGAGCCCCUGCCCAAUUAAUAGAAUUGCCUUCUCCUUUGGGGUCAUGGUUAUGUGGUGACUGCUUACAACCGCCAAUUGAAUGAGUGGACAGAACAUUACAAGCCAGAUUCUCAUGUACAUUAAGGGCCCUUUACAUUGCCAGAGUGAUCUUAAAUGCCUCAGUGUAAAUAAGAAUCUGGUCUUAAAUAUUUGUCACAAGUAUUUCGUCACAUUAUAUUUAUACCACCUUAUGUGCUACAUCUACCAGACAGGCAUUAGCAAGCAGAAAGUCAUGUCCAAAAAUUCAUUACUCCACAAUAUUCACACAGUGUAUUCCUUUUCUAAAAUAGUUUUUCACAUAAGGGGUUAAUGUUGUUUGAUUGUCAAAAUAGGUAGAAUUAAAUAAGCCCCAAAUCAAAUGGUGGUCUGACACUGUUCUCAGUUUAGAACUCCAGGGCUAAUAUUCUGGGGUCUCUGGAUAUUACUCAGUAAAGUUUAAAUGCUGUUACUUUUAUUGCCUUUCUCUGUGAGCUAUUCCACCCUGUUAAGUAGCAUGGUCAGAAUAUAACAAGAGUAAUCAUAGAAAUGUAGGACUGGAAGGGACCUCAAUAGGUCAUUGUGACAUACUGGGGUACAAUCUAGACUAGUGGGGGGGCUGUGUUACCCCUGCCCUGCAAACUUGGGUGCCUUACAAUGCCUUGCUGAAGUGGCUCCCACCUGGGUUGCUCACAAACAGCCUUCCACCAUGCAAGCUAUACCCUAAGUGUUUGUGUGUAACUGCAGCCUGCCAGUUACACCCUGGCUCUCACCAGCCUGGCUUAUACUGCAUGUGACCUCAACGCACUCCCAGUCCUGGAUUUUUCCGUGGAAAUAUAUGUCCUGUACUGCUCAACCUGCUUCUGGACAGUGCAAAUAUAUUAAGUCCAUUAUUCCUUUAAGGCAAUAAUAUGCCAGAUCAUUACCUUAAAUGGAGUUACCCAGACACUUCAGCUUAAUCACACUGUAUUAGAUAAAACAAGUUUAUUAAUUACAAAGAGAUAGAUUUUAAGUGUGUAUAAGUAAUGAGCCAUAAAAGUCAGAAAUGGUUACAAGAAAAAAACAGAUAAAACGCUUACUAGUGCCUAAUUUAACAAACUAUACUAGAUUCAAGCAAACUUUCUCACCACAUGCAGGUUACUGACCAAACUCUUCAGGUCAGGACUCCUCCCUCAAAGGAGGGGGAGUCUCUUGAGGUGUGUGCUCCUUUUUAUCGUUUCAUUUCCUUCUUGAAAA